Molecule: non-coding RNA, 124 nt
Organism: Hordeum vulgare subsp. vulgare (domesticated barley)
Lineage: Eukaryota; Viridiplantae; Streptophyta; Magnoliopsida; Poales; Poaceae
Source: Rfam
AUAAUACUCCCUCCGUCCGAAAAUACUUGUCCUAAAAAUGUAUAAAAUGAAUGUAUCUAUAACUAAAAUAAGUCUACAUAUAUCUAUUUCUCGGACAAGUAUUUCCAGACGGAGGGAGUAGUUC